CUCACAUGUGGUCAAGGCCAACUGUGCUAAGUAACUUGUCUUCUGAGGGUUGCUGUUCUUAAAGGCUGUCAGGAGUUGAGAAUCUGGGGUUGCACUUAGAUCUUUUUAGGGUUUCAUUUACUGAAAUUAAUGGAGCUGUGAAACCUACUGCGAGAGCUUCUGAGUUCAGAUGCCUUCCACAGGCUAUAAACUCAAAGACAACUCAUAGGUUUAAAUUGCAUCUCGAGCUGUCAGCAACUGGGAUGGACCAUCCGAGAGAGAGAGAGAGGAGAAUCAGAGUCACCUGAGAGUUGGAGAGACCUGCAGAGCUGUUGACGAACUCCUGGCUUCACCUUUGCCCUUGGUGUUUGUCCACCUCUUCCCUGCCCCAGUCCACCUAUGUGAGGCAGCCUUUUUAUAGCUUGACUUUGGUCACAUUGGGAAUAUUUACACCAUGGAAAUCGCAAAUGCUUCAAAUCAAGGUAUUUUUUAUUUGUUUUUUCUGUUCUGUUUUGGUUUUUAAAGAGUUCGUUUAUGAGCACACCUCUGAACUCACGAUUUAAAUAAAAAUUGGCACUAGUUUGUGUGAACUUGAGAAUGUGAUUCAACCUAUUAACUAUCACUGUACACAACUGAGAAAACAUAAUAGGUCUAGAUAAGAGAAUGGAAAUUAUACAUAAUUCAAAGAAAAUUAUAUUUAACAUUUUGAGUCAUUUCUUCCAUGCUAUGCAUUUUGUUUAAAUAUUUGAGAUUAUAC
RNAcentral lists this long non-coding RNA (736 nucleotides) under Felis catus (domestic cat). RNAcentral's name for it is "lncRNA (ENSFCAG00000051853.1)". Lineage: Eukaryota; Metazoa; Chordata; Mammalia; Carnivora; Felidae. The record is from RNAcentral.